This 514-nucleotide ribosomal RNA is filed under the name uncultured microorganism. RNAcentral's name for it is "bacterial SSU rRNA". It matches the Rfam family "Bacterial small subunit ribosomal RNA", at positions 9 to 524 of the family's 1533-position model. The record is from RNAcentral.
GAGUUUGAUCUUGGCUCAGGACGAACGCUGGCGGCGUGCUUAACACAUGCAAGUCGAACGAGAAUCUACUGAAAGAGUUUUCGGACAAUGGAAGUAGAGGAAAGUGGCGGACGGGUGAGUAACGCGUGAGGAACCUGCCUUGAAGAGGGGGACAACAGUUGGAAACGACUGCUAAUACCGCAUGAUGCAUCAGGGUCGCAUGAUUCUUAUGCCAAAGAUUUAUCGCUUCAAGAUGGCCUCGCGUCUGAUUAGCUAGUUGGCGGGGUAACGGGCCCACCAAGGCGACGAUCAGUAGCCGGACUGAGAGGUUGAACGGCCACAUUGGGACUGAGAUACGGCCCAGACUCCUACGGGAGGCAGCAGUGGGGAAUAUUGGCAAUGGGCGCAAGCCUGACCCAGCAACGCCGCGUGAAGGAAGAAGGCUUUCGGUAUGUAAACUUCUAUCAGCAGGGAAGAAAAUAGACGGUACCUGACUAAGAAGCCCGGCUAACUACGUGACAGCAGCCGCCGUAAC